RNAcentral lists this small RNA (132 nucleotides) under Escherichia coli. RNAcentral describes it as "RtT sRNA". It matches the Rfam family "RtT RNA". From Rfam's summary of the family: This family represents a bacterial cis-regulatory element known as RtT RNA. The exact function of RtT is unknown although it is thought that it may be involved in changing the cellular response in relation to amino acid starvation. The record is from RNAcentral. Lineage: Bacteria; Pseudomonadati; Pseudomonadota; Gammaproteobacteria; Enterobacterales; Enterobacteriaceae.
GUUUGCACUCAUCGGGGAAGGGUGAGAACCUUCGACUAAGGUUCGAUUCGAGCGAAAGCGAGAGAGCGUUGCCACAGGCAACGGCCCGAAGGGUGAGGAGCGAAGCGACGAAUAAUCCUUCCCCCACCACCA